RNAcentral lists this ribosomal RNA (253 nucleotides) under uncultured bacterium. RNAcentral's name for it is "partial 16S ribosomal RNA". It matches the Rfam family "Bacterial small subunit ribosomal RNA", at positions 524 to 776 of the family's 1533-position model. The record is from RNAcentral.
UACGAAGGGGGCUAGCGUUGUUCGGAUUCACUGGGCGUAAAGGGUGCGUAGGUGGUCGGAUAAGUCUGAUGCGAAAUCUCCGAGCUCAACUCGGAAAUGGCAUUGGAUACUAUUCGGCUGGAGGGUUGGAGGGGGGACUGGAAUACUUGGUGUAGCAGUGAAAUGCGUAGAUAUCAAGUGGAACACCAGUGGCGAAGGCGAGUCCCUGGACAACUCUUGACACUGAGGCACGAAAGCUAGGGGAGCAAACAGG